GACGAACGCUGGCGGCGUGCUUAACACAUGCAAGUCGAACGAUGAAGAAGAGAAACGCGAACUUCGGUUCAAAUUUCACUUCGGAUUAGUGGCAGACGGGUGAGUAACGCGUGAGCAACCUACCUCUUACAAAGGGAUAGCCUCGGGAGACCGUGAUUAAUACCAUAUGACACAUUCAUAAGGCAUCUUAAGAAUGUUAAAGCUACGGCGGUAAGAGAUGGGCUCGCGUCCCAUUAGCUAGUUGGUGAGGUAACGGCCCACCAAGGCGACGAUGGGUAACCGGACUGAGAGGGUGAACGGUCACAUUGGAACUGAGACACGGUCCAAACUCCUACGGGAGGCAGCAGUGGGGAAUAUUGCACAAUGGAGGGAACUCUGAUGCAGCGACGCCGCGUGAGCGAUGAAGGAAUUCGUUUCGUAAAGCUCUGUUCUAUGGGAAGAAAAGGACUGUACCAUAGGAGAAAGCCCCGGCUAAAUACGUG
Molecule: ribosomal RNA, 482 nt
Filed under: uncultured bacterium
Lineage: Bacteria
Description: partial 16S ribosomal RNA
Rfam family: Bacterial small subunit ribosomal RNA
Source: RNAcentral